GCCAGGCGCGGUGGUGCACGCCUGUAAUCCCAGCAGCUCAGGAGGCUGAGGCAGGAGGAUCAUGAAUUCAAAGCCAGCCUCAGCAAUAGCAAGACACUAAGCAACUCACUGAGACCCUGUCUCUA
This 125-nucleotide small RNA is filed under the name Marmota monax (woodchuck). The record is from RNAcentral. Lineage: Eukaryota; Metazoa; Chordata; Mammalia; Rodentia; Sciuridae.